RNAcentral lists this long non-coding RNA (1137 nucleotides) under Anas platyrhynchos platyrhynchos (common mallard). RNAcentral's name for it is "lncRNA (ENSAPLG00000017906.1)". The record is from RNAcentral. Lineage: Eukaryota; Metazoa; Chordata; Aves; Anseriformes; Anatidae.
AUGACAACUUCUUCCCCUGAUCCCAGGCUGCCUCCCCGCCCAGGCCAAAAACUGCUGCUGUGCUCAGCCAAAACAAGGAGCCAGACCCAGCAAACCUAUUCCAGGUGCUCUGCAGAGCUCUGCCUGAAGGAAGAGCUAUUUAGGGCCAGGGCAGGAGUGCAGGUGAAACACGAGCAGCAGCAGGGAACGGAGAGCCAUGGGCAUCGUGGAAGAGGACCAAGCCACCUGGCUUGGUGGAUCUCAGAAGAUCCGGGAGCCCUGAUGAUGCCACUGUGUUUCUCCUCACCCCGACAGGAGCUGACGAUACGGGUGUCUCACUUCCCUCAGCACAUACACCACCAGGCUUUAGCUACCAACGCUGUGAAGACACACUGGAAGCGUGACCCAGAAACACUGCAAAGGUUCAAAAAGCGGAGUACCCAAAGUUUACUUCUUAAAGCUUACACUUCACCCUGGGGCUGUGCUUCUUUACAAAGAGUUGGAGCAGUCUCUCCAUAUGAUGCCAGUAGGGUUUUCACAGGUCUGUCCACAGCUGACAAGCUGGUGUGGGACCAGAGUAGUAAAUGCCAGAGCUUCUCCCCCCAAAAUCAGGUGUCAGAGAGGGGAAAUGAAUCUAACAGCAGCUAUGGGAAGGACUUCCCCAGAUCCUACAGGACCCCCAGCCCAUAUGACAAUGCCUUGGGAAAAACUCACCCCAGGAGAAGCAAGAGCAGACAAAGCAGGGCUGCUGGCUCUGCAGCUGCGGGACGGGAGGCAGAGGGAGCGCUCUGCCAGGGGCUGGCAGGAAUAACCAGGUCAAGAGGGAGGUGCAAUGCAAGAGGAGGCUCCUGCUUCCUUUUGCCUGCUUCUUCCUUUGCAAAUGUCCCCCGUAACUCAGAGCUGCAGCAUGGCGAGCAUCGCGCAGCCCCCAGGGCUACAGGGUACCAGCCUGCCCAGGGUACAAAGGGGCAUCGAGGGGACCACCUCCGACCCUCAGCAAACACCGACCUCCCCCAGAGGGGAUUUCCUGCCCCUCAAGGUGACCGGCACGGCGAGUUUUUCCUCACCUACCUCCACUCUGGCAUUACAGGGCCAGCCACCCUCCAGCCAAGAGGAUGCUGCCCCGUGACAGGAGCGGGAGGCGAGCCUUGUAAUUAG